RNAcentral lists this ribosomal RNA (820 nucleotides) under uncultured Stenotrophomonas sp. RNAcentral describes it as "bacterial SSU rRNA". It matches the Rfam family "Bacterial small subunit ribosomal RNA", at positions 44 to 851 of the family's 1533-position model. The record is from RNAcentral. Lineage: Bacteria; Pseudomonadati; Pseudomonadota; Gammaproteobacteria; Lysobacterales; Lysobacteraceae.
CUGCGAGCUACCAUGCAGUCGAACGGCAGCACAGUAAGAGCUUGCUCUUACGGGUGGCGAGUGGCGGACGGGUGAGGAAUGCAUCGGAAUCUACUCUGUCGUGGGGGAUAACGUAGGGAAACUUACGCUAAUACCGCAUACGACCUACGGGUGAAAGCAGGGGAUCUUCGGACCUUGCGCGAUUGAAUGAGCCGAUGCCCGAUUAGCUAGUUGGCGGGGUAAGAGCCCACCAAGGCGACGAUCGGUAGCUGGUCUGAGAGGAUGAUCAGCCACACUGGAACUGAGACACGGUCCAGACUCCUACGGUAGGCAGCAGUGGGGAAUAUUGGACAAUGGGCGCAAGCCUGAUCCAGCCAUACCGCGUGGGUGAAGAAGGCCUUCGGGUUGUAAAGCCCUUUUGUUGGGAAAGAAAAGCAGUCGGUUAAUACCCGAUUGUUCUGACGGUACCCAAAGAAUAAGCACCGGCUAACUUCGUGCCAGCAGCCGCGGUAAUACGAAGGGUGCAAGCGUUACUCGGAAUUACUGGGCGUAAAGCGUGCGUAGGUGGUUGUUUAAGUCUGUCGUGAAAGCCCUGGGCUCAACCUGGGAAUUGCGAUGGACACUGGGCGACUAGAGUGUGGCAGAGGGUAGUGGAAUUCCUGGUGUAGCAGUGAAAUGCGUAGAGAUCAGGAGGAACAUCCGUGGCGAAGGCGACUGCCUGGGCCAACACUGACACUGAGGCACGAAAGCGUGGGGAGCAAACAGGAUUAGAUACCCUGGUAGUCCACGCCCUAAACGAUGCGAACUGGAUGUUGGUGCAUUUGGGCACGCAGUAUCGAAG